AAGCGUGCGCAGGCGGUUAUGUAAGACAGAUGUGAAAUCCCCGGGCUCAACCUGGGAACUGCAUUAGUGACUGCAUAGCUGGAGUACGGCAGAGGGGGAUGGAAUUCCGCGUGUAGCAGUGAAAUGCGUAGAUAUGCGGAGGAACACCGAUGGCGAAGGCAAUCCCCUGGGCCUGUACUGACGCUCAUGCACGAAAGCGUGGGGAGCAAACAGGAUUAGAUACCCCGGGU
Molecule: ribosomal RNA, 230 nt
Filed under: uncultured bacterium
Lineage: Bacteria
Description: partial 16S ribosomal RNA
Rfam family: Bacterial small subunit ribosomal RNA
Source: RNAcentral